AAGAAGAUAGUGCAAUGGUAGCACAUCGGUUUCCGAAGCCGAAUAUGGGAGUUCGAUUCUCCCUCUUCUUG
This 71-nucleotide transfer RNA is filed under the name Candidatus Peribacteria bacterium. RNAcentral describes it as "tRNA-Arg". It matches the Rfam family "tRNA". From Rfam's summary of the family: Transfer RNA (tRNA) molecules are approximately 80 nucleotides in length. The record is from RNAcentral. Lineage: Bacteria; Candidatus Peregrinibacteriota; Candidatus Peribacteria.